RNAcentral lists this ribosomal RNA (607 nucleotides) under Enterocytozoon bieneusi. Its description in RNAcentral is "SSU rRNA". It matches the Rfam family "Microsporidia small subunit ribosomal RNA", at positions 295 to 909 of the family's 1311-position model. Lineage: Eukaryota; Fungi; Microsporidia; Enterocytozoonidae. The record is from RNAcentral.
AAACCUUUGUCACUCCUUACGGGGGAGACAGUCAUGAGACGUGAGUAUAAGACCUGAGUGUAAAGACCUUAGGGUGAAGCAAUUGGAGGGCAAGCUUUGGUGCCAGCAGCCGCGGUAACUCCAACUCCAAGAGUGUCUAUGGUGGAUGCUGCAGUUAAAGGGUCCGUAGUCGUGAAUGCAAUUAAAUGUCGUUGUUCAAUAGCGAUGAGUUUGCUAAUGUUUGCGGAACGGAUAGGGAGUGUAGUAUAGACUGGCGAAGAAUGAAAUCUCAAGACCCAGUUUGGACUAACGGAGGCGAAGGCGACACUCUUAGACGUAUCUUAGGAUCAAGGACGAAGGCAGGAGUAUCGAAAGUGAUUAGACACCGCUGUAGUUCCUGCAGUAAACUAUGCCGACAGCCUGUGUGUGAGGAUACGUGGGCGGGAGAAAUCUUAGUGUUCGGGCUCUGGGGAUAGUACGCUCGCAAGGGUGAAACUUAAAGCGAAAUUGACGGAAGGACACUACCAGGAGUGGAUUGUGCUGCUUAAUUUAACUCAACGCGGGAAAACUUACCAGGGUCAAGUCAUUCGUUGAUCGAAUACGUGAGAAUGGCAGGUGGGUGGGUGGG